RNA transcript from Ipomoea triloba (trilobed morning glory), 2199 nucleotides. It is a transcript of the gene named pyrophosphate--fructose 6-phosphate 1-phosphotransferase subunit alpha-like, with no coding region annotated. The record is from RefSeq and is a predicted model, not a curated record. NCBI's taxonomy places the organism in Eukaryota, Viridiplantae, Streptophyta, Magnoliopsida, Solanales, Convolvulaceae. The transcript is spliced from 4 exons.
ACUGCUGCGGUCAGUGCGGUGCUGCCUCCAUAUUUCUGCCAUAUUUAAUUAUCCAAAGGAUUGAGCAUUUGAGCUGAACCCAGGAAUCUAAAGGAUUUGCCGCUCAAAUUCAGGGAGUAGCUGUGCUUCAUAUGUCGGAUAUUGAGCCUGUUCAGAAGUUUGUUUCUCGCAUCAGUGAUGCUCAUUUAGCAAUCAGGUUUGAAUGUUUCAGGAUCCAAUUUCACUUGGUCUAAUCUUUUCAUUUGCCUGAAUUGGUUAUAUAAGUAUUAUAGCAGCUAGAUGUACACGAUCUUAAGGAAAAUAGUUGCCUUGCUAAAGUCUGCCCUUUUGGGAUGGUUGAGAGGAAGACUUGAUGAGGUUACCACAUAUAAUGAGAGCUGGAAGUAGAUGUUAAAACCUUGGGCAAUGGUUUCUGCCAAAAGUGCCAAAAUCAACUGAAGGAACCACAUGUGUGUUUUUAUGAUGCAGACCAUGUACUCAAGACAGAAGAGGUUCUGUUUUAUGUUGACAAGGUGAAGAAAAUUACAAGGCCAGGAUGUCCACCAGAAGUUCUGGAUGUGGCCUUGACUUCCAUGUCAUCCCUUGUCAAAAUCCUCUCUCAGAUGUCUUCCAAACCGUAUCCACCUUCCUUACUAUGAGCACUUGCUCUAUUGGUAUAACUAUUGUCUGUGUUGCUGUAUCCAGUUUUUCAAUAGAAGUUAGAAAAUGAUAUCAUAUAUUGCAGAUUGGGUUGCUCAUUUGUGGUUUCCUAGAAGUAGCUAUGUGCUUCUUAAGCAUAUGACAUGAAUUAUUUUCUUACACCAUACUCGUCCUAGUAGGGGUUCAAAGGUGCUCAAGAUGUGUAUUUGGUGGGCAAUGGUAUUAAUUCUGGAAAUCUGAAGUUUAUUGCAGUAAAUUUGAAGUUGGGCUGCUGUUAAAUUCAACAAUAUUAUUUUUCACUGGUGGUAGCCUGGUAGGUACUCUGCAACACUUGCAUACUUCUCAAGCAGAUGAUCAAUUAUAUAUGCUCUGGCACUCUGGCAGUGGCAUAUUAUUAUUAAAGGUACCAAUUUGAUACCUUUUGACCAGCCCCUGGAUAUUGCAAUACAUUAUUACUGAUUUUUCUAAUAAGCCUCCUAUUGGCAACAAAUUUUUCUAUUUCUUUAAAUUUUUUAUUUAGUAUCCGUUUGGAUACUCAGAAAAUGACUUAUGGAAGUCUCUUUUUGCAUUUUCCCGUGUUUGAUUAUUCAAGGAAAAUAAAGUCAAAGGAAAAUAUUUAUUCUGGUCAACAGAAAAAACGGAUGGCCAAUUUAACGGAAAAUGUCCACUUAGAUUUUUAGACGAAAGACAUUUUUCAAAUUUUUAUUUUUCCAUAUUUAUCUUCUCUCGUCUAUUACCACUACAAUCACAACUACCACCACGACCAUCACAAUCACUACCACACCACUAGUUGUUGUUGUUGUAAUUAUUAUUAUUAUUAUUAUUAUAUAACGAAUAAUAUGUUCAUUUUUAGGAAAAUGAACCAAAUAGAAAAAAUGUAAUUUCUUAACUUUUAACCAAAUAUAAAAAGAUGGUUUUCUGAUCUUUAGCCAAACACUUGAAAAUUAAAUUAUUUUUUAAAAAAUGAGUCAUUUUCUAGAAGUCAUUUUUAAAAAAAUAUUUUCCAAGUUUUCAAACAGAACCUUAAUACUUAGAAUUUAAAAAGAUAAAGUAGUAUACUGGGUGUUUUCAAUCUCCAGGUAACUGUGAAUAAGAUAACUACUCUUACAUUUCUCAUAUCAUAUUGUUUUAUCCUAUAAUCCCUCUUAUCCAGUUUUCCCAGCAUCCUUUUUCAGCACCAUACACCAAAUUGAAGAAACUAGUCUUUCCAUCUGUUAUGAGGAUAUAGUGAAUGACUGAAUGUGAGUGAAGGGAAAAGUAAAAAGCUGGGUUUUAAAGUAAACGUGGAUGGUGCGGUGGAGAUGGCCACAUCCAGAGCCAGUUGCGGUGGCGUAUUACGUGACGACACAGGCCUAUGGAAGCAAGGGUAUAGCUACAAUAUUGGUAAUUGCUCACCUUUCGAAGCAGAAGCGUGGACUCUUCUGAAAGGGAUUCAGCUGGCAGUGCAUUUGGGGUACAAGAGAACGAUCUUUGAAAGCGAUUCCAGUGAGAUUACAAGCUAUAUUAAUUCAGCAAGGUCUCCCUCAAUUGCAGCUCACAACAUUCUGGAGGCUUGUAAAA